RNAcentral lists this transfer RNA (66 nucleotides) under Stenopirates sp. NKU01. Its description in RNAcentral is "tRNA-Asp". Lineage: Eukaryota; Metazoa; Arthropoda; Insecta; Hemiptera; Enicocephalidae. The record is from RNAcentral.
AAAGAAUUAGUUUAAAAAAAACAUUAAUUUGUCAAAUUAAAUAUAUAUAUAUAUAUAUAUUCUUUU